UACGUAGGGAGCAAGCGUUGUCCGGAAUUACUGGGUGUAAAGGGAGCGUAGGCGGGAUGGCAAGUUGGGUGUUAAGUCUACCGGCUCAACUGGUAGUCGCACUCAAAACUGCUAUUCUUGAGUGAAGUAGAGGCAGGCGGAAUUCCUAGUGUAGCGGUGAAAUGCGUAGAUAUUAGGAGGAACACCAGUGGCGAAGGCGGCCUGCUGGGCUUUUACUGACACUGAGGCUCGAAAGUGUGGGGAGCAAACAGG
This 252-nucleotide ribosomal RNA is filed under the name uncultured bacterium. RNAcentral describes it as "partial 16S ribosomal RNA". It matches the Rfam family "Bacterial small subunit ribosomal RNA", at positions 524 to 776 of the family's 1533-position model. The record is from RNAcentral.